CAGUAGCCGCGGUAAUACGAAGGGGGCUAGCGUUGUUCGGAUUAACUGGGCGUAAAGGGCGCGUAGGCGGGUUUUUAAGUCAGAGGUGAAAUCCCAAGGCUCAACCUUGGAACUGCCUUUGAUACUGGAAGUCUUGAGUCCGGGAGAGGUGAGUGGAACUGCGAGUGUAGAGGUGAAAUUCGUAGAUAUUCGCAAGAACACCAGUGGCGAAGGCGGCUCACUGGCCCGGUACUGACGCUGAGGCGCGAAAGCGUGGGGAGCAAACAGGAUUAGAUACCCGCGUAGUCCCUGUCUCUUAUAC
This 301-nucleotide ribosomal RNA is filed under the name uncultured bacterium. Its description in RNAcentral is "partial 16S ribosomal RNA". It matches the Rfam family "Bacterial small subunit ribosomal RNA", at positions 509 to 807 of the family's 1533-position model. The record is from RNAcentral.